This 119-nucleotide ribosomal RNA is filed under the name Pteropus alecto (black flying fox). The record is from RNAcentral. RNAcentral also lists the same sequence under 1 other name. Lineage: Eukaryota; Metazoa; Chordata; Mammalia; Chiroptera; Pteropodidae.
AUCUACAGCCAUGCUACACUGAAGAAACCCUAUCCUGUCUGAUCUUGGAAGCUAAGCAGGGUUGGGCCUGAUUAGUACUUGGAUGGGAGACCACCUAGGAAGACCAGGUGCAGUAGUGU